CAUCCCUCACUCUUGCUCACAGGUGAGCCUUCCCCAGUGAAGCGCUUCACUCCAGCCGUCCUUCGUCCUGCAGCAGUCCUUCCUCCUCCUCUGAAGAGCCCAGCAUCCCGUAGAAUAAAGCCAAUGGCGCUAAUGUAAUGAUAGUGACAUUGUGGCCAUGGGAGCAGGGCAGUGACCAUCCCCUGUGCUGGGGCACCUCCAAUCCCGGGGAUUAAAGAAGUGCAACAGUUUCCAAGGAUUCAAAGGCGUGGUGGGAAAAGAAAAAAAGCUUUUUACCUCAUUGGCAGAGAAUUUAAGAGCAGUCAUUUCAAGUUUUGUUUUGAAUCCUGGAAGCCUCCAGGUGAAAGAACUCAUUUAGGAAAACCCAAACUCAAC
This is a long non-coding RNA of Agelaius phoeniceus (red-winged blackbird), 375 nucleotides long. RefSeq lists it as uncharacterized. NCBI's taxonomy places the organism in Eukaryota, Metazoa, Chordata, Aves, Passeriformes, Icteridae. The record is from RefSeq and is a predicted model, not a curated record.